UUGGUUAAUUCCUUCUACAAAUCGAUCAUGUGGUUGCGGGUAUCAAAUGUUAAAUCACAAUAAUACGAACGGGGGUUAUCGAUUGUAACAGAGAUAAAUAACAAUCAGAUAAGUAC
Molecule: non-coding RNA, 116 nt
Organism: Camelina sativa (false flax)
Lineage: Eukaryota; Viridiplantae; Streptophyta; Magnoliopsida; Brassicales; Brassicaceae
Source: RefSeq, a predicted model, not a curated record